Non-coding RNA from Acanthosepion pharaonis, 100 nucleotides. The record is from the annotation of a GenBank genome assembly. NCBI's taxonomy places the organism in Eukaryota, Metazoa, Mollusca, Cephalopoda, Sepiida, Sepiidae.
CAUUGAAACACGAGUUCUCAUACAAUCGCUGAAGUUAAGCAACAUCGAGCUUGGUCAUUAUCUAGAUGGGUGACCACUUGGGAAUAUCAGGUACUGUAAG